GAGAGAGAUAGCUACAACAAAAACUGCUAAUUUACGUUACUUUGGUUAAACUCCAAAGCUCACUCA
Molecule: transfer RNA, 66 nt
Filed under: Ophisternon candidum (blind cave eel)
Lineage: Eukaryota; Metazoa; Chordata; Actinopteri; Synbranchiformes; Synbranchidae
Description: tRNA-Ser
Source: RNAcentral